Panicum virgatum (switchgrass) is the source of this 2511-nucleotide long non-coding RNA. RefSeq lists it as uncharacterized. Lineage: Eukaryota; Viridiplantae; Streptophyta; Magnoliopsida; Poales; Poaceae. The transcript is spliced from 3 exons. The record is from RefSeq and is a predicted model, not a curated record.
GGGAAGGAGGAGAGAGGAGGCGGCGGCGGCCUGCGGCCGGCCAUGGCUGCCGGCGGCGGCGGCGGCUGGGUAGGAGAGGGAGGAGAGGAACCCUAACCCUAGGCUAAUGAUAUCAUGAUGGAGAGAAUAAUGGCUUAUAUUCCUCCAAACCCUAGAAGAGUGGGAUAUAUAGAUCUUAUACAUGGGCCUCUAGAUGUGCCUCUAUACAUGAGCUCACAUAUACACCAACAGAAGCCAUUAAGAUACCUAAUGCAGUGGUAAGGGUAGUUCAUCUGUGUCUCCAAAGGUUUUAAUGGUUGUCUAUACUCCUGUCAUUGACAGGUAUGUAUCACUGGCCAUCUUUUUAAGGAAGGGACCAACUUAUGAGCCAAUGUCGACAUCAACUGUCACUGACAGAUAUGUAUCACUUCUUGUGAAGCUUCAGUUAUCAGUUGGUAGGCAUCUAUACAUUCGAGAUAAGGUAUAUAUGAUAUCAUGGCAUUUGCGGUGAUGAGCGGGUGGUAUAUAUGAUAGAAAAAGAUCUUACUCAUAUUUAGUGGGUCCCCAUACUACUGCUUUAGAAUCGCAACAUGUACAGAAGCCUACACAUCCCCUAGGUGAGAUAAGGUGGUUGCUAUUGUAAGGGGGCCGUUCUUUCUCUCUAUAUCACAAAGAUACACAGCCCUCCUUUGUGUUAGAGGAAAAUACAGCUUUAAAAUCAUUGAUUGAAGUAAUCAUAAGUAAACUUACAAGAGCUGUGUAUUUUGUAUAUUAUCUUAUGUUUUAAGCUAUCCCAUGUUAUUUUUUGUUCAUCUGAUAAACAUGGUUUUUGUUAUUACUAAUGCUGCUAUACAGUUUACUAGCUUUGUAAGGCAUUACAUAUCUGAAAAGUUCUUCAGGCUGAAGAAACAGGUAUGAUAAAUUUUUAAGUAAAUCACAGUUUUUUCAAAUUUUUUACAGACAACCUUGAUUAUAUCCAUGCCCUUCUAUCAUAAUUUUUUCAGCUUAUUUUGAACCCAUAACUGAAUCUUUGGGCAUGUAUCUGAAAGGUUUUGAACAAAAGAGAAUUACUAGUAAAAAUGAGCAAGGAAUGACGACCUGUAGUGAGAUUUGCUCAUGACUUUUGUACAAUUACUUGGGGCUGAUAUCCUCAAAGACCAGCUUUACUAACAUGAUGUUAUAUUUCUGCAAUUUUAUUCAACAUGUCAAUGUCAAUUAGUUAACAUGUGUAUUUUUUAUGGUAAGUAUGCUAAAACAUCUUGACUAUAUUGUUUCAAUGGCAUCCCUUCUGUUUGACUUUACUGGGUUUUGUCUGAUUCUUUUACAGUUAAAUUUUCUGAUUCUUUUAUUGUUAAUUUUUUCUGAUUCUUUUAUAGUAAGUUCUUUUGGGUACAAUGCCACCAUCAUUAUUGUUUGUGUGCCCUUCUAAUAUGAAUAAACCUAACUUCAUGUAAUGUGAUGCUGUGUACUCAUUGACCUAGAGAAUGAUGGUUUAGAUGAAUGCUUGGGACUCAAUAUACUAGCUUGCUAUUUUGAUUGGUAUGUUCUACUUUUUCACAUAUAAGACUGGUUUUAUUUAAUUUGAGUUCUGGCUUGCAGUGUAUUACCAGUGGUUGUUUUGCUAACGAAAGAAGAAGUGGCUGCAAUCUGAAACGUAUUAGCACUCGCUCCAUGGCUUGACAUUCUCAUAUGCUGAGUUAAGCGGUAUAUCUGUUCUUUGUUUAACCCUGGAAGAAACCUAGCUGAGGAUGACCUCUCACCUAAAAGCCGAAGGAUCGAGAUACACGAGAGGUAAAAGCUUAGUUUUCUACAUACUAUCGCCAAUGUUGCAGAGAUCUGUUAGGAAACCUUUUCCUUUUUUUUUGGGAGCAAGGUAAGAGGCUAAGAGCACUGCUAAUUUCAUUAAGAGAGGAAAAGUAUUUUUUUCGAAACAAAAGAGGAAAAGUUUUUUUCGAAGCAAGAAAGGAAAAGUUUUUUUACAGAGUCUUUUAACUAUUUAUGGCCUGAGAAGAAAACCAGACCACCAAGUAGCUAACAAGAAUGAUGACAAGCUAAACAUCAGACAACUUCUAAUCUGCCAGAAACCAACCAUCAUUUCUUUAGCACAGCUUGCUGGUUGGUGAUGAGCAACCGAGUUCCUACUGGAUGGGAAGAACGACCUGUUGGUGAUCAAGCUCCUGGCAAUGAAAAUUCCUUUGUACAUCCGAGAUGGUGUUCACAUCAUAAGAGAAGUGAGAACCUCCUUUGUACAUCCGAGAUAACUGAUAAGUAGGUGCACGUGCACCUCUGAUCAGUCAGCUGCUCAAAUUGAUCUAGAAUCAGCAACAGCAAUUCUAUUGUGACCUGGUCUGUGGAAUCAAAUGGUAGUAGUGCCUUGCUUCAGGCAUAAGCAUAGUGCACCAAAAUGGCAAGAUUAGGUUUCUGCCUUGUUUUGUCAAGAUUUCUAGUCAUAUAAUGUAGCCACGAUUUGCCUAGACACUGAAGAAAUUGUAGCAGAACCAGUAAAUGACAUCCAAGAGUCCUUAUUUACAA